CCUACGGGUGGCAGCAGUAGGGAAUCUUUCACAAUGGGCGAAAGCCUGAUGCAGCAACGCCGCGUGAAGGAUGAAGGCCUUCGGGUUGUAAACUGCUUUUAUAAGCGAGAAAUAUGAUGGUAACUUAUGAAUAAGGAUCGGCUAACUACGUGCCAGCAGCCGCGGUCAUACGUAGGAUCCGAGCAUUAUCCGGAGUGUCUGGGUGUAAAGAGUUACGUAGGUGGCAUAAGAAAGAGCUAGUGGAAUCUGGUGGCUCAACCAUUCAGACUAUUAGCUAAACUGUUAAGCUCGAGAGCGUUAGGGGUAACUGGAAUUUCUAGUGUAGGAGUGAAAUCCGUAGAUAUUAGAAGGAACACCAAUAGCGAAGGCAGGUUACUGGGACGGUUCUGACACUGAGGCACGAAAGCGUAGGGAGCAAACGGGAUUAGAUACCCCAGUAGUC
RNAcentral lists this ribosomal RNA (442 nucleotides) under uncultured bacterium. Its description in RNAcentral is "partial 16S ribosomal RNA". It matches the Rfam family "Bacterial small subunit ribosomal RNA", at positions 338 to 795 of the family's 1533-position model. The record is from RNAcentral.